AUGCCUUUGCCUGUACCUAGUGUUCCUUGGGAGGAUAUAUCUAUGGACUUUGUUUUAGGUUUACCUCGAACAAAGAAGGGGAGGGAUAGCAUAUUUGUUGUCGUGGAUAGAUUCUCGAAAAUGGCACACUUUAUACCAUGUCAUAAAAGCGAUGAUGCUGUUAAUGUUGCUGAUUUGUUCUUUCGUGAAAUUAUUCGCUUGCAUGGUGUGCCAAAUACUAUUGUUUCAGAUCGUGAUACUAAAUUUCUUAGCCACUUUUGGAGAUGUUUAUGGGCUAAGUUGGGGACUAAACUGCUUUUUAGUACUAUAUGUCACCCCCAAACUGAUGGACAAACUGAAGUAGUCAAUAGAAUGUUGUCUACUAUGCUUAGGGCUGUUUUGAAGAAUAAUAAGAAAAUGUGGGAGGAAUGCUUGCCUCAUAUUGAAUUUGCUUAUAAUCGUUCAUUGCAUUCUACUACUAAGAUGUGCCCUUUUGAAGUUGUGUAUGGUUUCCUACCUCGUGCACCUAUUGAUUUGUUGCCUCUUCCAUCUUCGGAGAAGGUUAAUUUUGAUGCUAAACAACGUGCUGAAUUGAUUUUAAAAAUGCAUGAGUUAACUAAGGAAAAUAUUGAGCGUAUGAAUGCUAAAUAUAAACUUGCUGGAGAUAAGGGUAGAAAACAUGUUGUGUUUGCACCUGGAGAUCUUGUUUGGUUACAUUUGCGUAAGGAUAGAUUUCCUGAUUUGCGCAAAUCAAAGCUAAUGCCACGUGCUGAUGGUCCCUUUAAGGUGUUAGAGAAAAUAAAUGAUAAUGCAUAUAAACUUGAGCUGCCUGCAGAUUUUGGGGUUAGUCCCACUUUUAACAUUGCAGAUUUGAAGCCUUAUUUGGGUGAGGAAGAUGAACUUCCGUCGAGGACGACUUCAUUUGAAGAAGGGGAGGAUGAUGAGGACAUCAAUACAAUUGUUACACCCACAGCCCCUGCUGCUAUACAUACUGGACCAAUUACUAGAGCUCGCGCACGCCAACUAAAUUACCAGGUACUUUCGUUUCUUGGUAAUGAUUCUAAUGUUCAUUGA
RNAcentral lists this ribosomal RNA (1053 nucleotides) under Triticum aestivum (bread wheat). RNAcentral describes it as "partial small subunit ribosomal RNA". The record is from RNAcentral. Lineage: Eukaryota; Viridiplantae; Streptophyta; Magnoliopsida; Poales; Poaceae.